ACUUUACAUCUAUGAAUUGUGAACUGCCUUAGUGUGUGUAUCGAUUUAUUCUUUAUGGUUUUCAAUUUCAUAAAUGAUUCGUAGGUGUGAUCAUGUUGAACAUAAGCAGCUUCCAGUUCAUAAGCUUGGAACUUUCCUUUUUAAUCAGCUUUAGGUUUAAAAUACGUAAUCAACUUGAUAGGAGUUAUUUUCUAGCUUUACUGAUUUUUGACCUUGCAUUGUGAAGAUUUCUGUGUAGAAACAAUACCUCAAUUGGGAAGAACGAAAGUUUAUAUUUGAUUUACGAACAUUGCCAUCACUUACGUAGGGGGUUCUUGGGAUCGGUAGAAAAAAUCAUUAUGGCUGAACAAGAUUAGGAUUAGUUUUCAUAAAAUGCAACAAAAUCCAUUAAAAGAGUAUUCAUUUGCUCCUUGGAGUCUUUCUGAUGCAAGAGAAAUGAGGGAGACAACUCUAUGGCCACAUCUGUAUGCUUUCUCAGUAAGAAGCAUGGCAGCUUUUCGUAUAAGCAAAUCAGAGAGGCUUAGGGCUCGUUUGGAUGUGCUUUUAAAAUGGCUGGAAGCAUCUUUAGAGAAAAUGUUUUUGGGUUCCCAAAGCACUUUAAGUGCUUUCUGCAAGAAGCACCAGUUAUGUGCUUCUUCUGUGAAACACUUUUAAGUGUUUUUCUAGGAUUUACUUGCAUUUUUACUAAGGAUUGGUUCCAAAAACAUUUUCACCAAAAGCGUUUUUAGUCAUUUUAAAAGCACAUCUAAACGAGCUCUUAAGUUGUCAUUAUAUUUAAAUGUCACAAUGCUUAACUGAAGUUUUCAAACGUCUUUUGGUAUUUUAGCAUCAUGAUAUUGUGGUUUGACCAUAAGAAGAAAGUUGGGACUGGGUUUUGAUAUGUGUAUGCUGCAGUUAGUAUGCGAGCAUACAACCUAGUUUGUUAGUUGUUUGGUUUGUGAACCGGAAAUUGUACGUAGCCAAUCAACUAACAUAUCGUUAAAUAACUGAA
This is a non-coding RNA of Malus domestica (apple), 991 nucleotides long. NCBI's taxonomy places the organism in Eukaryota, Viridiplantae, Streptophyta, Magnoliopsida, Rosales, Rosaceae. The record is from RefSeq and is a predicted model, not a curated record.